Molecule: ribosomal RNA, 496 nt
Filed under: uncultured bacterium
Lineage: Bacteria
Description: bacterial SSU rRNA
Rfam family: Bacterial small subunit ribosomal RNA
Source: RNAcentral
ACGAACGCUGGCGGCGUGUNUUAACACAUGCAAGUCGAACGCGCAGCAUUCUGUAGCAAUACAGGGUGUGGGCGCGUGGCGAACGGGUGCGUAACACGUGGAUAACCUUCCUUCAGGUGGGGAAUAACCCAGUGAAAAUUGGGCUAAUACCGCAUAACAUCGCGAUGGCACAUGCUGUUGCGUUCAAAGGCGCAAGUCGCCAGAAGAGGGAUCCGCGGCCGAUUAGCUUGUUGGUGGGGUAACGGCCCACCAAGGCUUUGAUCGGUAGCCGGACUGAGAGGUUGGCCGGCCACACUGGAACUGAGACACGGUCCAGACUCCUACGGGAGGCAGCAGUGGGGAAUCUUGCACAAUGGACGAAAGUCUGAUGCAGCAACGCCGCGUGGGGGAUGAAGCUUCUCGGAGUGUAAACCCCUUUCGACCCGGACGAAUGCCCGCAAGGGUUUGACGGUACGGNUAUAAGAAGCCCCGGCUAACUACGUGCCAGCAGCCGCGG